GCUGGGCAUGGUGGUGCACACCUGUAAUCUCAGCAGUUAGGGAAGCUGAGGCAGGAGGAUUGUGAGUUCAAAGCCAGCCUCAGCAACUCAGCAAGGCCCUAUGAGACUCAGUAAGACCCUGUCUCUA
RNAcentral lists this small RNA (127 nucleotides) under Marmota monax (woodchuck). The record is from RNAcentral. Lineage: Eukaryota; Metazoa; Chordata; Mammalia; Rodentia; Sciuridae.